UCUUUGCACUUAAAACAGACAGGAACACAACCAUGAUGAUUUAACACUGAGAAGCGGGCAGUCUCAGGGAAAACUAAUGUAUUUCAUUCACGCUGUGGUGCACCCAGUCACAUCUCUUCACAGAAAGGCAUCUUGAAUCUGAUAGUGUUGAAACACUGUUGGCCGGAAGACAGGCUAUGGUGAGUGGAAUUCCAGGUUGCUGUGUGCAUGCAUAAUCCCAUCCCUACCACUGUGGCCGCUUUAUUCAUGAGUCUAGUGGGUAAUAGUAGUUAUCUGUGGAUGAUGGCAGGGCCUUGCUGCAAAAUCUGAAGGGCCUCCUCUGAAUUCACCUGUAGGUAUCACUGGUAAACUGGGCUCUUUCCUCACUUUUGAUUAGUUGUACAGAAAGAACAUUUAAUUGAAAAAGACACUUAGGUUUUAUUUGAUGGCCAGCGACUGGAGAAGGCAAGCUCUUUCUUUAAAUGCAUGAACAAAAGGCAUGGGGUUCUUAAGGACUAGCUGUGGGGGAAUGAAAGGAAUAUUAGCAUGUGUGGGGUGGGACUCCAGAUGUGCAGGCUCAAUUUGUAAACAUAUGUCUUCAUACAUCACAUAUGCACAGAAUAGCAG
This 606-nucleotide long non-coding RNA is filed under the name Homo sapiens (human). Its description in RNAcentral is "non-protein coding lnc-MKRN3-7:2". Lineage: Eukaryota; Metazoa; Chordata; Mammalia; Primates; Hominidae. The record is from RNAcentral.